GAGAUGGAUAAUAAAAAGAUGGAUAAUGAAGUGAUGGAUAAUAAAGAGAUGGAUAAUAAAAAGAUGGAUAAUAAAGAGAUGGAUAAUAAAAAGAUGGAUAAUGAAGUGAUGGAUAAUAAAGAGAUGGAUAAUAAAAAGAUGGAUAAUAAAGAGAUGGAUAAUAAAGAGAUGGAUAAUAAAAAGAUGGAUAAUAAAAAGAUGGAUAAUAAAAAGAUGGAUAAUAAAACAAAUAUAUAUUGUAAUACUACUACUGAAUUUGGUAAUGGCACUAUUAAAAUUAAUAAAUAUAAAAAUAAUAAUAUAGACAGUUCAUACCCAAAUAAAAAUAUUGAUACAUAUAUUAAUCGAAAUAAAAUGAAAAUAGGAAGCGAAACUCUGUUUUCUUUAUCAAAUAAAAAUAGUUUGACAUUAAAUGGUAUGAACACAAAUAAGUUAAGCCAACUUGAGAAAUUAAAAUUAAUAAAUGAAAGAUCGAAAGAUGUUUUAACUAAUGAUUCAUCGUCAUUAGAUUCGAAUGAAAUAAUUCCUGAACAUGUUCAGAAAAUUAUAGAAAAAAGAAGAGAAUAUUUUAAAAUAAAAAAAAAUUUACGAAAAAAUGAAAAAAAUAAAAAUAUUCCAAAAAAAGCAAAACCAUUUGUUUCGUCAGAAUGUAGUGAGUCAUUUAGAAAUACAUUUUAUAAAGAAGAAAAUAAUACAAACAAUGUUUUAUUAUUAAAAAAUUUAAGCAAUUUACCUAUAUUAAAACAAUCCUUUAGUAAUAAUAUGGAUAUAAUUAAAAAGAGUGUUAGUGAUAUUCAACCCAUCACCUAUGAUACCGAUAUAGUUAGCAACGAUAAUAUCCUUAAAACGUUUAGUAACAAUUUACAUAAUACGAACAGUUUAUAUAAUAUGGAUAUUCAGUCACUUACUUCUUUUAACGAAGUUCCUGGAUUGUUAAAAAAAAAAAUAUAUUUGGUAGUGUGGACACAUUACCUUUAACAAAUAAUCACGACAAAAAUAACUUUAAUAAUAAUACUAGUGCGAAUUGUAAAAACAUGAACAAUUUAAAGAAUAUCCGUAAUAAUACUGAUGCUAUGAGUGAUUAUAAUUUUAGUGCAGAUUACAGCACGAGAUGUUACACUAACAAAAAUAACAACAGUAACGAAAGUAAUAAAAGUGGUAACAGUAAUAAACGUAGCA
RNAcentral lists this long non-coding RNA (1179 nucleotides) under Piliocolobus tephrosceles (Ugandan red Colobus). Its description in RNAcentral is "lncRNA (ENSPTEG00000038627.1)". Lineage: Eukaryota; Metazoa; Chordata; Mammalia; Primates; Cercopithecidae. The record is from RNAcentral.